AUUGAACGCUGGCGGCAGGCCUAACACAUGCAAGUCGAGCGGAUGAAGGGAGCUUGCUCCUGGAUUCAGCGGCGGACGGGUGAGUAAUGCCUAGGAAUCUGCCUGGUAGUGGGGGAUAACGUCCGGAAACGGGCGCUAAUACCGCAUACGUCCUGAGGUAGAAAGUGGGGGAUCUUCGGACCUCACGCUAUCAGAUGAGCCUAGGUCGGAUUAGCUAGUUGGUGGGGUAAAGGCCUACCAAGGCGACGAUCCGUAACUGGUCUGAGAGGAUGAUCAGUCACACUGGAACUGAGACACGGUCCAGACUCCUACGGGGGGCAGCAGUGGGGAAUAUUGGACAAUGGGCGAAAGCCUGAUCCAGCCAUGCCGCGUGUGUGAAGAAGGUCUUCGGAUUGUAAAGCACUUUAAGUUGGGAGGAAGGGCAGUAAGUUAAUACCUUGCUGUUUUGACGUUACCAACAGAAUAAGCACCGGCUAACUUCGUG
RNAcentral lists this ribosomal RNA (484 nucleotides) under uncultured bacterium. RNAcentral's name for it is "partial 16S ribosomal RNA". It matches the Rfam family "Bacterial small subunit ribosomal RNA", at positions 30 to 507 of the family's 1533-position model. The record is from RNAcentral.